CUUCAUGCCUUUUUGGGUCUUAUCACAUACUGCAGGUCCUGGAUACCAGAAGCAUCAAAACUCAUGCAGCCACUCUAUGAUGCCCUCAGGAGUGAGCCCUUCCACCUUACUGAAGAAACCAUCACCUGUUUCCACAAUCUGAAAAGAGCUAUUGCUUCUGCACCCGCGUUGGGCCUACCCAACUACCAGCUACCUUUCAAUCUGUUUGUCUCUGAAAAGUCAGGACAUGCUUCCGGAGUCCUUACCCAGAAACAUGGCUCAAGACAACGACCUAUUGGCUAUUUUUCCUGCAUGCUUGACCCUGUUGCGAGGGGUAGUCCCUCCUGCCUCAGGGCUGUGUUUUCUGCCAGCGCCCUCCUGGACAAAACUAAUGAUUUUGUUCUUGGUCACCACCUCACGGUGUUGGCUCCUCAUGACAUUACUGCAAUCCUGCAACAAGUUCAACCUAAGCACCUUUCAUCCCAACGUCACCUCCGUCUACAAACCUCCUUACUUUUACCUGACAAUGUGAAACUUCAGAGAUGUCUUUCCCUGAACCCAGCCACUCUUCUGCCACUUCCCAAGGGGGGAGUUGUGCAUUACUGGUACAGUCUGGACAUCAACCCAAAGGUUCGGGCAGAUUUGUAGCUGCCUGCGCAUGCACCCCCACAUGAUGAACAAUCAGAGGCCCUACUUCACUGUACCUUAUGGUUUAAGGACAUACCAGGCCCUGAUAUGAACUAUGAAGAAGAACUAUUCCAGCUCAAGGAAAUUCAAAUUACCCUGACUGACUUAUUCUGGGACCCCACAGGUACCAUGCUCAUCUUAGUCCAUCUUCCAGAGAAUGUGACACAUCUCUAUCAUCAUUGGGAAACAGCUAUCCCACACAUAUCUCUCACCAGAUCCCCCGAUACCUAAUGGAAAGAUCUAGGCCCGAUGGCCAAAACCUGGAGUCAAAUGAACCAAGAACAACUGACUUCUACGGGGAUCAACAAAAAGACUAUUAAUUACUGUACGGCAGGGUACCCAAGGUACCACACAGAAGCCCGUGAAGACCCACUCAUCACAGACUGUGACUUAGAUAUUCCUCAUGAUUGUUUUGAACAAAUGAAAAUGGAAACUACACACCUACCAACUGUCUAUGAAGCUGCACUACUCAACCCGGACCAAACACUAUUUGUGGACGGGUCAAGAUUUGCUGAUGAACAGGGACAAUAUCACACUGGGUAUGCAGUCACCACAGGAUGUCAAGUAUUACACGCAGCUGCCCUACAACCAAC
This is a non-coding RNA of Pelobates cultripes (western spadefoot toad), 1259 nucleotides long. The record is from the annotation of a GenBank genome assembly. NCBI's taxonomy places the organism in Eukaryota, Metazoa, Chordata, Amphibia, Anura, Pelobatidae.